CCUACGGGCGGCUGCAGUGGGGAAUAUUGGACAAUGGGCGAAAGCCUGAUCCAGCCAUGCCGCGUGUGUGAAGAAGGCCUUCGGGUUGUAAAGCACUUUCAGUGGGGAAGAAAGCCUUGGGGCUAAUACCCUCGAGGAAGGACAUCACCCACAGAAGAAGCACCGGCUAACUCCGUGCCAGCAGCCGCGGUAAUACGGAGGGUGCGAGCGUUAAUCGGAAUUACUGGGCGUAAAGCGCGCGUAGGCGGUCUGAUAAGCCGGUUGUGAAAGCCCCGGGCUCAACCUGGGAACGGCAUCCGGAACUGUCAGGCUAGAGUGCAGGAGAGGAAGGUAGAAUUCCCAGUGUAGCGGUGAAAUGCGUAGAGAUCGGGAGGAAUACCAGUGGCGAAGGCGGCCUUCUGGACUGACACUGACGCUGAGGUGCGAAAGCGUGGGUAGCAAACAGGAUUAGAUACCCCAGUAGUC
Molecule: ribosomal RNA, 465 nt
Filed under: Vreelandella stevensii
Lineage: Bacteria; Pseudomonadati; Pseudomonadota; Gammaproteobacteria; Oceanospirillales; Halomonadaceae
Description: partial 16S ribosomal RNA
Rfam family: Bacterial small subunit ribosomal RNA
Source: RNAcentral